AUUGAACGCUGGCGGCAGGCCUAACACAUGCAAGUCGAACGGUAACAGAAAGUGCUUGCACUUUGCUGACGAGUGGCGGACGGGUGAGUAAUGCUUGGGAACUUGCCUUUGCGAGGGGGAUAACCAUUGGAAACGAUGGCUAAUACCGCAUAAUGUUUUCGAACCAAAGUGGGCUUAGGCUCACGCGCAGAGAGAGGCCCAAGUGAGAUUAGCUAGUUGGUAAGGUAAAGGCUUACCAAGGCGACGAUCUCUAGCUGUUCUGAGAGGAAGAUCAGCCACACUGGGACUGAGACGCGGCCCAGACUCCUACGGGAGGCAGCAGUGGGGAAUAUUGCACAAUGGGGGGAACCCUGAUGCAGCCAUGCCGCGUGUGUGAAGAAGGCCUUCGGGUUGUAAAGCACUUUCAGUGGUGAGGAAAAGUUAGUAGUUAAUACCUGCUAGCCGUGACGUUAACCACAGAAGAAGCACCGGCUAACUCCGUGCCAGCAGCCGCGGUAAUACGGAGGGUGCGAGCGUUAAUCGGAAUUACUGGGCGUAAAGCGCACGCAGGCGGUUUGUUAAGCUAGAUGUGAAAGCCCCGCGCUUAACGUGGGAUGGUCAUUUAGAACUGGCAGACUAGAGUCUUGGAGAGGGGAGUGGAAUUUCUGGUGUAGCGGUGAAAUGCGUAGAGAUCAGAAGGAACAUCAAUGGCGAAGGCAGCUCUCUGGCCAAAGACUGACGCUCAUGUGCGAAAGUGUGGGUAGCGAACAGGAUUAGAUACCCUGGUAGUCCACACCGUAAACGCUGUCUACUAGCUGUAUGUGUAUUUAAUACGUGUGUAGCGAAGCUAACGCGCUAAGUAGACCGCCUGGGGAGUACGGUCGCAAGAUUAAAACUCAAAUGAAUUGACGGGGGCCCGCACAAGCGGUGGAGCAUGUGGUUUAAUUCGAAGCAACGCGCAGAACCUUACCAACCCUUGACAUCCUGUGCUAACUCCAGAGAUGGAGUGUUCCCUUCGGGGACGCAGCGACAGGUGCUGCAUGGCUGUCGUCAGCUCGUGUCGUGAGAUGUUCGGUUAAGUCCGGCAACGAGCGCAACCCACAUCUUUAGUUGCCAGCAGUUCGGCUGGGCACUCUAGAGAAACUGCCCGUGAUAAGCGGGAGGAAGGUGUGGAUGACGUCAAGUCCUCAUGGCCCUUACGGGUUGGGCUACACACGUGCUACAAUGGUAGUGACAGUGAGUUAAUCUCCAAAAGCUAUCUCAGUUCGGAUUGGGGUCUGCAACUCGACCCCAUGAAGUCGGAAUCGCUAGUAAUCGCGUAACAGCAUGACGCGGUGAAUACGUUCCCGGGCCUUGUACACACCGCCCGUCACACCAUGGGAGUUGGUUCUACUCGACGGCCGUGCGCUAACCUUUUGGAGGCAGCGGACCACGGUAGGAUCAGCGACUGGGGUG
This 1434-nucleotide ribosomal RNA is filed under the name uncultured bacterium. RNAcentral's name for it is "bacterial SSU rRNA". It matches the Rfam family "Bacterial small subunit ribosomal RNA". The record is from RNAcentral.